RNAcentral lists this non-coding RNA (27 nucleotides) under Mus musculus (house mouse). Lineage: Eukaryota; Metazoa; Chordata; Mammalia; Rodentia; Muridae. The record is from RNAcentral.
UUAUGGACCACAGGGCUUAUGGCCUUC